Molecule: long non-coding RNA, 2587 nt
Organism: Scylla paramamosain (green mud crab)
Lineage: Eukaryota; Metazoa; Arthropoda; Malacostraca; Decapoda; Portunidae
Exons: 3
Source: RefSeq, a predicted model, not a curated record
GACUGACUUCACCUAACCUCACCUAACUUCAUCUGACCUGACUAUCCUAACCUGACUACUUUAACUUAUUCUAACAUAACCUGGCCUGAUUACACCUGACCUGACCUGAUGUAACCAAACGUAACCUGAUCUGACCUCACCUAACUUGAUCUGACCUGACUACCUUAACUUAUUCUAACAUAACCUGGCCUGAUUACACCUGACCUGACCUGAUGUAACCAAACGUAACCUGAUCUGACCUCACCUAACUUGAUCUGACCUGAAUAUCCUAACCUGACUACCUUAACUUAUCCUAACAUAACCUGGCCUGAUUACACCUGACUUGACCUAACCUGAUGUGACCAAACGUAACCUGAUCUGAACUUAACAUAACCUAACCUGACCUACCUUAAACAGACCUAACUUAACCAAAGCUGGCCUGACCCUACCUAACCUGACCUCAUUUGACCUAAUGUAUUUUAAUUUCUUCACUAUGAUAUAAGGGACACAACAUGGUGUUAUACCGAGUUCAUAAUUCCAUUUUAAAGUGUGUAGUGUAGUUGGUUUUAAUUUGCAUCUCAACUUACGGAAAGGUGUUGAAGUAUUAAGUGGUAUAGAGGAUGUAACAUGAGUAAGCAAAAUUCUCAGUACUAGUUGUCAGGUUAGGAGAAGAGGUAAGGAGUUCAAGCCUGAGGAAGUUAUAAGACAAGGAAAAAAAAAAAAGAAAAAGAAAACAAGAUAUUCUCAAAAGCGAGUGAAUGGGAUGAUCUCAGUAGUGAAGUUGUUGGUGCUGAGUCACUGGGGAGCCUUAGGGAAAUUUAUGAAAACAAAAAAAAAAGUUAAAGUCUAAAAAAAGAGGGUAAAAAAUGGUUCUCAAAAUAAAUGAAUGGGAUGACUUGGUAAUCAGGCUGUUAGUGCUGAGUCACUGGGGAACUAAUGUAUGGAUAGUGAUGAUAGGUGGAAGCAGGUAGGCACGUUUUUUUUUUUUAAGGGCCUGCCACGUGUAGGCCUUGUGGCUUUCUGUACCACCCCUUGUGCUAUUGUGAGAGCAAGAAAAUUCUCAAACAGCCUCUUACCUCUUGGACAGGCUGUAGUGGAAGUUACUAUGGGUUUUCAAGGGAGUUUAACUAGCAUUCAACACUUUUAAUAGGCUGUAAUGGCAGUUAUUGGGGUUACUAUGUUGUUUUCGUGAUGCCAGUAAUAGUUUAAUAAGCAUUCUACACUUUUAACAGGCUGCAGUGGAAGUUAUGGGGGGUAAUAGUUAAUGAUAAUUGGACGAACAUUCUGCACUUUUGACAGGCUCUAGUGGUAAUUAUUAACACUUGGUAGGGUGUUUUCGUAAUGCAAGUAAUUGUGGUGUUGUGUAUGUCCCUCGUUGUCUAAUUAAUACCCAGAGUGGACAUUGCCAGUUCAGAAUUAGAGAUGCCUCUGUCCUAGUGGCGAGAGUUUAAUGCGGCUUUUACACCAUAAUUUUCAGAAGAGAGAAAGGAUAAUCAGAUUUCCAAGAGUGACAGUGACGUGGAUGGUUUCAGUGAUAGUUUAACAAGCAUUCCACACUCUUAACACGUCCUGGUGGUUAAGAAUGAAGGCAAUGUCCCCACUCUUAACACGUCCUGGUGGUUAAGAAUGAAGGCAAUGUGUCAUGUGUUAUCAUAAGGGGCGGUGCAGUUCUCUCUACCUGUAUUUAGCGCACAACUCCCUCCUCAGUAACUCAAGCAUGAUUUGUUCAGAGGCUCAGUGUUUGCUCGUGUGUCUUGUGUGAUGCACGUCCUUGUUUCUUCCUGGCGGGAUGAAGCGUCUGGCGCCACACGUGAUCUCAAAGCUGACUUGACUGUGCAUGGAUGACGAUGGCGACCAAAAGACUCACGACGGAGGAGUGCAUGUCCUCGUUGUUGUCUGACAAUAAGGAAAGUAGUGAGGAAGAAGACUAUUUUGAGGGCGAGAGCCAUGAAGAUGAGAUUUCUGAUCCUGAGGGCAAGAAACAGCCAUGACAUGGUGGCGCCAAACCUCGCCUGUCUGAGGCUACCGCCACCAGUCACCUGCCACCUCAUUCACUUCAUGCACCUUUCUGUCGCCACCACUACGUCGCUGCCUUAGAUCGCUGCCAGGACGAAGGAACUUUUGGCCUGGUGCUGCAGAAGAGACACAUGACAUGGGCGUGGAGGAGUGUGUGUGUGUGUGUGUGUGUGUUCAUCACGACGAUGUGUCUGGUAUCGAUGUGCCUCGCCACGGUGUGCUGCAGCAUGAAGACAAUGUGCCUCGCAACAUACAAAAUGCCCCCAGAACUCUCACAGUGCCUCAAGACGUGUCAUCUAAUGAGGUAAACAACAGGAGGAGGUCAAGGGGCAUCCUUCACCCUCCUGGUGUGACCUCGCUGAAUCGUGAUUCAGUGCCUACACUGCACAAAGUAAAGAUUGUACAAGUCUGCUCUGGUGAGGCCCAGGACUGUGCUACUUCGGGACCAGGAAGUCCAAACCAUCCCCUCCAAGUCUCAGUGGUCAGUGUGACAGUCAGCUGCAGCCAGCCUUGUGACGCACGGUGUCAAAUGGGAAACUGUGAAAAAUCGCAAAUAUAUUUUUAUAUAUUUUGAAAUAAAUAUGAAUUUAUA